GCAGCAGAAGAAGGAAAUGGGAGGCAGCACAGCAGCUCAUAAAGGAAGUCUCGGUCCUGUUUCAGCAAGGCUUGUUCCAGCUCCUAAGAGAGCAGGAGGGACGAGAGGUCUUUGGACUGUGGGAGGAAACCGGAGCUCCCGGAGGAAACCCAGGCAGACACGGGGAGAACAUGCAAACUCCACACAGAAGGACCCGGACCGCCCCACCUGGGGAUCGAACCCAGGACCUUCUUGCUGUGAGGCGACAGUGCUACCCACUUAGCCACCGUGCCGCCCAUUACAAAAAUGGAAAUAAAG
This is a long non-coding RNA of Trichomycterus rosablanca, 297 nucleotides long. RefSeq lists it as uncharacterized. The transcript is spliced from 3 exons. Lineage: Eukaryota; Metazoa; Chordata; Actinopteri; Siluriformes; Trichomycteridae. The record is from RefSeq and is a predicted model, not a curated record.